RNAcentral lists this ribosomal RNA (542 nucleotides) under uncultured archaeon. Its description in RNAcentral is "bacterial SSU rRNA". It matches the Rfam family "Bacterial small subunit ribosomal RNA", at positions 509 to 1050 of the family's 1533-position model. The record is from RNAcentral.
CAGCCGCCGCGGUAAUACGUAGGGUGCGAGCGUUGUCCGGAAUUACUGGGCGUAAAGAGCUCGUAGGUGGUUUGUCACGUCGUCUGUGAAAUUCCGGGGCUUAACCUCGGGCGUGCAGGCGAUACGGGCAAUACUUGAGUGCUGUAGGGGAGACUGGAAUUCCUGGUGUAGCGGUGAAAUGCGCAGAUAUCAGGAGGAACACCAAUGGCGAAGGCAGGUCUCUGGGCAGUUACUGACGCUGAGGAGCGAAAGCAUGGGUAGCGAACAGGAUUAGAUACCCUGGUAGUCCAUGCCGUAAACGGUGGGCGCUAGGUGUAGGGGACUUCCACGUUCUCUGUGCCGUAGCUAACGCAUUAAGCGCCCCGCCUGGGGAGUACGGCCGCAAGGCUAAAACUCAAAGGAAUUGACGGGGGCCCGCACAAGCGGCGGAGCAUGUGGAUUAAUUCGAUGCAACGCGAAGAACCUUACCUGGGCUUGACAUACACCGGACCGGCGUAGAGAUACGUCUUCCCUUGUGGCCGGUGUACAGGUGGUGCAUGGCC